GACGAACGCUGGCGGCGUGCUUAACACAUGCAAGUCGAACGGAAAGGCCCUGCUUUUGUGGGGUGCUCGAGUGGCGAACGGGUGAGUAACACGUGAGUAACCUGCCCUUGACUUUGGGAUAACUUCAGGAAACUGGGGCUAAUACCGGAUAGGAGCUCCUGCUGCAUGGUGGGGGUUGGAAAGUUUCGGCGGUUGGGGAUGGACUCGCGGCUUAUCAGCUUGUUGGUGGGGUAGUGGCUUACCAAGGCUUUGACGGGUAGCCGGCCUGAGAGGGUGACCGGCCACAUUGGGACUGAGAUACGGCCCAGACUGCUACGGGAGGCAGCAGUGGGGAAUAUUGCACAAUGGGCGGAAGCCUGAUGCAGCAACGCCGCGGGCGGGAUGACGGCCUUCGGGUUGUAAACCGCUUUCGACUGUGACGAAGAGUGAGUGACGGUAAUGGGUAAAGAAGCACCGGCUAACUACGUG
This 468-nucleotide ribosomal RNA is filed under the name uncultured bacterium. Its description in RNAcentral is "partial 16S ribosomal RNA". It matches the Rfam family "Bacterial small subunit ribosomal RNA", at positions 28 to 507 of the family's 1533-position model. The record is from RNAcentral.